This 73-nucleotide ribosomal RNA is filed under the name Escherichia coli. RNAcentral's name for it is "partial 16S ribosomal RNA". It matches the Rfam family "Bacterial small subunit ribosomal RNA", at positions 1 to 73 of the family's 1533-position model. RNAcentral also lists the same sequence under 32 other names. Lineage: Bacteria; Pseudomonadati; Pseudomonadota; Gammaproteobacteria; Enterobacterales; Enterobacteriaceae. The record is from RNAcentral.
AAAUUGAAGAGUUUGAUCAUGGCUCAGAUUGAACGCUGGCGGCAGGCCUAACACAUGCAAGUCGAACGGUAAC